RNAcentral lists this ribosomal RNA (506 nucleotides) under uncultured bacterium. Its description in RNAcentral is "bacterial SSU rRNA". It matches the Rfam family "Bacterial small subunit ribosomal RNA", at positions 48 to 546 of the family's 1533-position model. The record is from RNAcentral.
CUUACACAUGCUAGUCGAGCGGUAACAUUUCUAGCUUGCUAGAAGAUGACGAGCGGCGGACGGGUGAGUAACGCGUAGGAAUCUGCCAGUAGUGGGGGACAACAUGUGGAAACGCAUGCUAAUACCGCAUACGCCCUACGGGGGAAAGGAGGGGAUCUUCGGACCUUUCGCUAUUAGAUGAGCCUGCGUGAGAUUAGCUAGUUGGUGGGGUAAAGGCCUACCAAGGCGACGAUCUCUAGCUGGUCUGAGAGGAUGAUCAGCCACACUGGGACUGAGACACGGCCCAGACUCCUACGGGAGGCAGCAGUGGGGAAUAUUGGACAAUGGGCGCAAGCCUGAUCCAGCCAUGCCGCGUGUGUGAAGAAGGCCUUAGGGUUGUAAAGCACUUUCAGGAGUGAGGAAGGGCGUAUAGUUAAUACCUGUAUGUCUUGACGUUAACUCCAGAAGAAGCACCGGCUAACUCUGUGCCAGCAGCCGCGGUAAUACAGAGGGUGCGAGCGUUAAUC